RNAcentral lists this unclassified non-coding RNA (690 nucleotides) under Leishmania donovani. RNAcentral describes it as "gene:unknown". The record is from RNAcentral. Lineage: Eukaryota; Euglenozoa; Kinetoplastea; Trypanosomatida; Trypanosomatidae.
UUUUCUUUGUCGCGCUGUAUGCGCUUGUGCGCAGCUGAUGGCGGGCUGCGAGGAAAAGGGCUCUUUUCCGAGGGAGAGAAGACGGCCCGUGGGUGGUGGUGACCAGACUUUCUGGAGCGUCUCGCUUAUAGGAAGCGGGGACGUGCACGAGGCAGUGGCUGCAGAACAACAAAAAAGAAGGAUGCCGGCAGCGGGAUUCCACACAGAGACACGCACGCACGCACUCACCACAAGUUGCUCCACCACUCCCGCCCGUGCCCAAGACCUGCGCUGGCCGCAACAUUUGUUCUGCGGGCCACUUUCUCUCGCAUCGGCUAUCUUGCUCGGCGCUGAGAGAGGCGCGCCGCGCGACACUCGCCAGACACCACAUCCUGUGGUGCUUUCGGACGCCUCGCUGUCUGUGCAGGUGAGCAGAUUCUCUCGAGGGCACCUGUGUUGCAUUACACCGACCGAUCUAGCCAGAGGAGAUCCGUGGAGGCGCCCUGCUCCGCUGCUAGUGAGAGUGCCGCCGCUGAAUUCUUGCGUGCGUGUGUGCCUUUGUCGCUUGACUUGCACAGUCGUCUUGCUUGCUGAAGACGCUGGCCAAUGCACGGUCUCUGUGCUUGCCCUCUCUUCUUACCAUUAUCGACCCCUGAUCUUUGCCCGGACCGCUUUUUACGAUGUGCUCCACCAUCCAUGUCGCUUGUGCAG